This 1092-nucleotide long non-coding RNA is filed under the name Danio rerio (zebrafish). RNAcentral describes it as "lncRNA (ENSDARG00000117382.1)". The record is from RNAcentral. Lineage: Eukaryota; Metazoa; Chordata; Actinopteri; Cypriniformes; Danionidae.
CGGCUGGCCCCAAUGUGGUUCCCGUGUGCAAGCCCAUAAUGGGGCCCACAUUUGAUGCCCAUGAAGCCCUCAUUUGGGCCCCACAUGUCAUUGCUGGCUGGGACAGAGACAGAGAUCAAGGCUGUCGUCAUAGAGGCCAAGAAGUAGUUGUCCGAAUUCUGUCACAGAGGACGUUUCUGGGAGUUUGGAAAAAAUUGUGACCUAUUAGACUCUACUAAUCCUCUUGCCAAGUUUGUAACUCUGUUAUGCUUCUCUGAUUUGAUAAAUCUGGCUUCAAAUUAAACAUCUGCACAUAUUUAGAUAUAAAUAUAAAUUAUUGCUUGUUGUUUUGACCUUAUUUAUGAUCCUUGUUUUAGGAUGAUUGCGGAGAUGCAGUCAAGGGGGUUGGUGAUUAAUAACUUACCUUCAGUCCUCCCAGAAUCAGCUCGAUCUACUACAUCUUCUGUGCCUCAAAGCUCUGGAGGUGCAGAAAGUCCAUUGUAGCCUCCAAAUGAGCCCUUAUCUGACAAGAGCUCUGGAGAGUACUACCAGAGGUACAGUUUCAAAUCGGCAUUCCCAGAAAUUAAAUGUACACUGUGGAAAUGAUUUCUCUUUAAUAUACAAAGUCAUUUUGCUCACCUGCUUUUCUAUUUCAGCACUGGUGGACCGAUGUUUACCUCUUCCGUGAGGGUGGAAGUGGUCAAAAAAGGCUUAUACAAUAAGCACUCCAUUGACCACUCCCUUCUAACAGGAUUUAAUAAAUACCUUUACACUGAUCUAGGAUAUAAAAACAGCAAACAAGUAGUGGAAACAGUGUCCAGGUUCUUGCAUUACAUGGACCCCACUGAGCCAAACUUGAUGUUUGUUCGGCAGGUGGAGAAAGUGCGAGAGUACUUUAACAUCUUGUCAGAUACAAAGCUCUCAAAAUGGACAGUGUUCAACUACUCGAAGAGUCUCAAGAGGUUCAUGAAAUACAUUAUUACCUCCACGGACAUUCACCACAACAAUCCAUCUCUGUUCCAGGACUGUAAGAGUUUUAUGGAUGUGCUGUAUGGGAUACAGAGUGGCAUGUCCAAAAAAGUGAGCAUGAAGGUCACAGCAAAAAAAAUCUGA